GGAGAGGUGUCCGAGCGGCUGAAGGAGCACGCCUGGAAAGUGUGUAUACGUUAAUAGCGUAUCGAGGGUUCGAAUCCCUCCCUCUCCG
This 88-nucleotide transfer RNA is filed under the name Candidatus Kentrum sp. G. RNAcentral's name for it is "Candidatus Kentron sp. G tRNA". It matches the Rfam family "tRNA". Rfam says of the family: Transfer RNA (tRNA) molecules are approximately 80 nucleotides in length. Their secondary structure includes four short double-helical elements and three loops (D, anti-codon, and T loops). The record is from Rfam by way of RNAcentral. Lineage: Bacteria; Pseudomonadati; Pseudomonadota; Gammaproteobacteria.